GAUGAACGCUGGCGGCGUGCUUAACACAUGCAAGUCGAACGGAAAGGCUCCUGCUUGCAGGGGUACUCGAGUGGCGAACGGGUGAGUAACACGUGGGUGAUCUGCCCUGCACUUCGGGAUAAGCCUGGGAAACUGGGUCUAAUACCGGAUAGGACCACAUUUUGGAUGGUGUGGUGGAAAGUUUUUCGGUGUGGGAUGAGCUCGCGGCCUAUCAGCUUGUUGGUGGGGUAAUGGCCUACCAAGGCGUCGACGGGUAGCCGGCCUGAGAGGGUGUACGGCCACAUUGGGACUGAGAUACGGCCCAGACUCCUACGGGAGGCAGCAGUGGGGAAUAUUUCACAAUGGGCGCAAGCCUGAUGCAGCGACGCCGCGUGGGGGAUGACGGCUUUCGGGUUGUAAACUCCUUUCGCUAGGGACGAAGCGUUUUUGUGACGGUACCUGGAGAAGAAGCACCGGCUAACUACGUG
RNAcentral lists this ribosomal RNA (467 nucleotides) under uncultured bacterium. Its description in RNAcentral is "partial 16S ribosomal RNA". It matches the Rfam family "Bacterial small subunit ribosomal RNA", at positions 28 to 507 of the family's 1533-position model. The record is from RNAcentral.